RNAcentral lists this long non-coding RNA (5180 nucleotides) under Taeniopygia guttata (zebra finch). Its description in RNAcentral is "lncRNA (ENSTGUG00000023495.1)". Lineage: Eukaryota; Metazoa; Chordata; Aves; Passeriformes; Estrildidae. The record is from RNAcentral.
UGCUGCAGUCGGGUUUCACCUCAGUGCUGUACUGGAGAUGGAUAAAUAAGGUAUUGGUUGCAUCUGCCUGUUAAGGCAAAGCCAAGGGAGAAGGAGAGAGCGAGUGAAUGCAAAUGCAAAGGAAGAAGAAACGCUCUGUGCCGUUUGUCUGAUUCUGCGGAUUCUCACUGCAGAGAGGAUGGCUUGAUUAACAAAGCAAUGUAUGGACCGAGGGACUGUAAAUUGUAGCUUGAGCAUUCCUGGUGCUGCCAGGGAGUGAACUGAUGAGUUAGGUAGCUGCAGGAAUAUCCCCAGGGUAAACAGCAGCCUCUCACUCUGUGUCUAUAUUUGUGUACGUAUGUGCUUUUGUGUGUGUGUGUGUGAACACGUACAGAAAUGAAAGAAAGACAUUUCUGACCAAUUUACAGGGGACGUUUGUCAGUUUGCUGGGUCAGACUUGAUUACAGCUUGUAUUUUCAGCUCUAGCUCUACACCCAUUUCCUGACUGAGGUGGCACUUUGUGAAAACAGAUGGUAGGCAGUAUUCUUUUAAGAAUUGUGAAAGCAGAUCCUUUCCGCUUAACACCUUGAAGCACUGAACCUUCUGCACUGUGCUGAGAGAAACCGUGGGGUUUCAUUUUCUCCAUCUUAAAAUCUCUAUAAACACAGCUGUAUUCAGUAUGGUGAAAAAUUCUAUACUGUAAAUAGAAAUGUGAUCAAUCUAAUCAAAAUAAAUGCAUCCCAGAUGACUUCUAGACCAGCUGGCUACCACAAUUUUCAAAAUCAGCCUCUAAUUUAAAAGGAUUCUUCAUAUAUUUAGAAAAGGCAAUGCUUUCUGUGAAAUGUACCUGGGUGUAUUUUUUACUUUGGAAUCUGCUUGGGGCGAUUUUAGAGUAGGUAGACUUGUCACAGUACAGGCAUAUUUCAUUUGGUAGGUAGCUCAGCCUGGCCAUAUCUGAACAAUGCAGAAACAGGGAAAACAACCACUGCAUACAGCUAGCAGGGCUUGGCAUGGAUUUUAGCAGCUGCCUAUCAAGAAAGACAAGUUUUUUUUCUUUCCGUUUUUCCCUUUUAUACAAAGCCAUAGACCAUAAUGUCAUACUAAAAUGUGUAUGAGGGGAUUUCCCAAUAGUCAUGGUGAGCUAGCCUGCAGGACUCCCGUCUAGUCCUUCCACUAUUUUUUCCCCAGCUUACAAAGGCAGCCCUGUAUGUUGAAUUGUAUUUAGCCAGCUGUUGGAUAGCAUUCUUGUGCUGGGGGCUAAGGAGUCUUAUUACUCCCAAACUGUAGUUUUCUGUUUGCUUAAAGAAAAUUGGCAAUACAGCAGGCUCUGCAAAUAAGUUUAUGCCACUCCUAUACCUUUCUGAAUCUGUUGUGUGCUUCUAAGUCAAGCAGUUUAAAGCAAGCAAGGAGGGAGGAGGAGAGACUCUGAACUUGCAGCUUCAAAGCUACAGAGACAAGCAAAAUGUCAGCAGCUUGUAAUUAGGAGCCCACGGUUACGUCAGUGACUGUAUCUCUCCAGGAAUUGCUAUGAGAUGUGUGCCACAAAGCAAAGGAAGACUCUCAUAACCUGGUUAACAAGCCUGGCUCAAACAAGAAAGAGCAAAAUGGAUUAAUGAAUCUGCUGUGUUCCUAAUUCAGAUGUGGAUGGAUUACACGCACAAGGUUUGCUGAAUUCUGCAGCAGCGAAGACUGAAUUAUAGCAUGCAUUCACCAAAAGUGCAAAUCCUUCAGGAAAAAAAUGCAGAUGAGCAGUCUAUCCUUGAAAAUUUCUUUCCUAGCUCUGUCCUGUACAGGCAGCUGCAUGACAUGGAGGCACGCUCUGAAGGAAGAGACUGGCGAGCUGCACAAAGAUGUUUAAAAGGAAGGUGCAAUUAGACACAAAGCAAGCCUGCUGAAAUUCUGUUCUGGCAUUACAGAUUUGAUACUGAAAUACCACCACAGAGGAGACCGGCUGGGCUCUGGUGUGGUUUAUAUUAAGGCUUCUCGGUUAAGAGCGAGGGGGAAGGGACAGGGCUUCCUGCAGCAUCUUGCAGCCAUACAGAAGUCCCCAGGGCUGUGGGAAGCAGGAGGGAUGGGUGUGCUCUUAAAGACACAUGCCCAGAUCCUGCCAAGGGGCUUUCUGACCUCUGCAAUUAUUUUUAGGUCCAUGAAGGCAACUCGGCAGUGCUUUAGCAGUGAGAUUGCAGGGGGUGUUUAAUCUGCUGCGACUGGCCUUUCUCUGUGUCAUGGCUGGGAAAGGCUUAUAGAGCUUUUAUCAAUACCCCUCCACCCCUCCACCACAUCCAGCACGCAUGUCUGUCGCUGUUCCUAAAGACCAGUUACUGGAGUUCUGGUGUGUUUUCCUGCUCCCAGCAGAAGUCACUUGCAGUUCAGCUCUGUUGUAGUUGCUUUUUAAUUUACCAGAUAGGUAGAUUGUAUUUUACAAACAGUGGGGGUGGGUGGUUUUUGGUUUGGUUUUGGUUUGUUUUGGUUUUUUUGGUUUUUUUUGGACUGUGAACACAAAUUUGUAGGAUGAGGUGACUCUGUAUAUUAAACCAAUAGCUCUUUGAAUUGUGUGUAGUAUAAUCUAAAUAUACUUACUUUAAUUAAUAGAAGGUUACAAAAGCUGGCAUUGUCUGGGGCUGUUUAAUUUACAUCUUAGGUUUAGUCAAUGAGCACAACCUGCCUGAUUAGAACAGUGUAUUCUGCACAGCCAACAGGGUGGAAGGCAUUAUUUUGUUUGUGUUAGUUCAAACAGCUGGUCAUUAAUGCAGGCCCCAUCUCCAGAGUGAAGUGCUAGUGGACAUGAAUGGCUGCCUGAUUAAUGCUGCCCCUCGACGGGUCCUUCAUCCAGCAGCAAUGCUCGCAGCAGAAUAAUGCAGCGGGAUUUGAUUGCGCUCUAACAGGGUAGUAUGUCAUUGUGUCACCAAGCGAUCGAGGUUAUUAUGGGGUAGGGCAGACAGACGGGACAGUGGGGUUACUAGACCGUGGCAUUUUUAGAAAUGCAGGGCUGACCUACUUAGAGUUAUUCUUGCUGGCUGGCAGCUGCCUGGUGCGGGGCUCCCCCGGAUAGGCUGCGGCUGUUGCUAGGGGGAAUUAGCAUGAAUUUUUCCACAUACAGACUCAGUGAUUGAAUGAUAAAAGCUGACUGGAAUUAAAGAGAUUCGGUUCAGUAUUAUGCAGAUUUAUCUCCCUCAUUUUUUUUUCUCUCUGUCAAAUGCAUAAAAAGGAGCAGAAAACAGUUUGUUUCCAUUUAUUUUUGACCUAUUUUUUUUUUUUCCAGAGGAGGGCAGAAGUGUUGUGAGGUGAUAAUUUAAUAUUUAGGCCGUUGAAAUGAUAUGAUAGUGAGCAUGCAUCUUUAAUGUAUGGAAGAUUAAAAUGCUGCCUCUCUGGAAGGGAAUGAAAUGAAUAUAUUUUGUGUUCUCGUCAAGCUGCCACCUCUUUUUAUUUCAAGCCAUGUCAGAUUCUUUUAUCUGGAAAGGGGAAACAUAUACCAUGUUUUAUUGCAUAGCAUUACUCUUAGCUAUUUUUAGCUAUCUGUCCUUCAAAAAAUUAGUCUUAUUUAUACUAGUGGAUGAAAUUAAUCCCCAGGCUAUGCCUUAUGUAUGUGGAGACAGAUGCCCAGGGUAGCUGCAGUGUUGUGUGUCAUGUUCAUCUGAAAAGGUGUUUACACACUGCAGGCUUAUCAGCACUGCAUACCUAGCAGAGUGCAGAUGCCUGACAUGUAAUCAGAUCAAUUAGAGAACUCUCCUGGAUUAUGGAGUAUUUUUCAGGCCAUGGUUUGAAGUUGGAAUCUCUAGAUGGCCUUCUUUUAUUUAUCUACAUCUGCCUAAAACAGUGUUAUCUUUUCAGAGAACACUGUGCUCCCUUAGGAGGCAAAUAAUAACAAUACUUAGUGAAGAAUCCUUUGAUGUAAUCAUGAAUAUUUCCUUUGUUAUUAUCACUAGUUAUAGAAGAACUUUGUUUAAACCGCUAUUUCCCCUUGUGUGAUCUUUUGCCAUUCAAAGAAAUACCAAUUUAGUACUUAUAAUUUUAAGUUAAAUAUUCAUGGCAAUGCAUCAUGACAUCACACUCAAAGAAGUGGGAAUUUUCAAAAUAUGAGACAUUGGGGGAUGGGAGAGAAGGACCCACAUGCCUUUGGAAAUGCAAAAUAAAAAAUGGGACUUAGUGCUGAAAAGUAGUGAACUAAUUUUUGUCUGAAACAGUUUAAUUUCAAAUAUUUGGAUGGAUGAGGUACCUUUUAGAGGUUUGUGAACAACGUGCAUAUCUGAGGUACCUUUUAGAGGAGUGUGAGCUGCCUGUGCAUCUCUCUGGACAACUAGCUGCUUCCUUGGACCUAGAGCUGUCCUGCCUUGGCCCCUGGAAUUUAUUGGGAAGAUAUUAAAAAAAUGGAGACAUGAAUUUGAAUACAUUUUGUGGCUGAGGCAAAGCAUUCAGUUCCUACAGAGUUGAAUUUCCUAUGUUUUUUUUUUCCUGGCAUUGAUUCAUUACUGAAACCUGCACCACUUCCUUCUCUGCUUCUUCCUGACAGUCUCAUGGAGUGACAUAAUUUUAGAGAAGUGAAAGUGAGGAGUGGCACAGUUUGAUGCCCAGUAAUUGUGUUUGCCUUGUCUGUCCUCGGAGGUUACUCCAGAAAGUUGUGGUCCCACUUCCCUCAGCAAUAUUGUCUUGAUCAAAAUCUGAUGUCCUGCUCCACUUCUGUAGGAUGCUGCAGGAUGCCAGGCAACAGCCCUUGUAGACAGCUUUUGUCUACAGUUGUGUCUUGAGGUUUUUGCCCUUGUUGGUUGUAGCCAGUUGUAGUUUCAUCCAGUUCACCUGCGAUAUUAGCUGACUUGGGCUUCAGCAAAUCAAAAUAAACAUUCAAUACUGUACUAAUGCAGUACCUCAUUUUCUAGAAGAAAGAAUUUGAGUGUUUGCUAUAUUUGUGCAAAAAAAGAGGGAGUUCAAAGAAAAGCAACAAACAAGAUACAGCAUAUACUCUUGGAAAAGAGCUGCAUCCUUGCUGUUUAUCUGGAUUUCAACACACUGAUUGUUUAUAACAAACAUCAAAUCAGAAAGUUUAACAAACCAUCAAGUGACAUAUUAAAUAUAAAAAAUAUAAUGCGCUAGGAAUUGUAUUAAAUGUAAAGUUGCCCUGCUGGAAAUCUCUUCAAUGAAAAUUUUUUCCAAACAAUUGAGUAUGUGAAUGAUGUGAUCAUAAUACUUUGGAUAAUUAUGAGUAG